AAAUCCAUUAACAAUGCUUUAAUCAGAUAUAUUAAUGCAAAUGAAUAAAUACAAUUAAUUUACUUUAAUUUAAGGGUGAAAACAUUUUCAAAAUUUUCGCAAUAGAUCAAUCGAUUUCGCCAUAUUUUUUCACAGUUUCCUAUUGACAUGUAUAUUUCCUAUUGUGCCGGAAGGCACCAUUUUAAAAUUUAGGAGACACCGCCCCAUUCCUGAUUGUUUCAAUGGCGAGCCGUAGCCGGAAAUAACGUAAUUUCCCCGCGACAGGGAAACACUAUCGCUGGCGGUCAAAUUACAGAAAAAUAGAAAUUUGUGUGAACAUUAACUAAAUUAUACGAACUAUAACUGACUUCCUGGGAUAAAUUCCACGUUUGGUUGUGUGUGUUGACAACAGGUUUGACGAAGUUGCACGUGAAAAUGCAUUCAGUCACCAUUAUUCAUGGAUGAGCUGUCUGCAAGCUAAGGAUCGAGGAGGUUUUGAACGGACACGCAGCCGACAGACGCAAAGUUGUGGGACACGUGGACGGCUCUGCGCUACGAUGACGAGGACAACCUGCUUUUGGACAGAGUGGACUGUAAAGUGUGGACACCAGUGCAAACCAUCAAACUUGUCCCCAACUUUUCUGGCUGCUCCAGUUUGGCUUCAGCACCUUCUGAUGUGGUCUUCCAGCUGAGGAAGAAGACAUGCAGACAGGUGCAUGAUCUUGGGGGGGCCAGGGUGCUUCUCCUCCACGAUGGCUCUUGUUCUGGAAGCCGCCCUGCACGCAGAGUCAAAAAAACAAAAACAGGUGAGCACUCUUCAAACUGCAGAAGAGAAGGAUGUUAAAAUGUUUAAGGCAAUCUUUGUUUUGCAGUGUCAAACCCAGCAGACGUGGCGACAGGCGAGCCUCGUACAUCUUGUUCCUCUCGCAGCUCUGCAUGACGUCAACAAGAGGCCGUCAAGACUGCACACAAAAAGCAGGAUGUGAGGAGUGGUUGCUGCAAGUCACCCUCCUUCAGAAGAUUGCCUUGAACACAGAUGAGCAUGCAGUAGGAAAAUAGUCAACUGAGGCCAGAAUUUCUAAAACAAAGACAUCUGUUAAGUUUUGCCAUACAGCACAUUUGACAAGAGAUGAAACCCACCAGCAAUGAAGAGGAUGUGACUCGUUUCUCUCUGGGACUUUGUCCAAGCGCUCACAGGAAGGAAAAACAUUUGAACAACAUUGUGAUGAUUGUUCAGUGUAUUCACAGAGUGGACUGUCAAGUGUGUGUGGACACCAGUGCAAACAUCUCAAACUUGUCCAACUCCUCAGGCUGCUCCACAGUUUGGCUUCAGCAUCUUCUGAUGUGGUCAUCCAGCUGAAUUAAAAUAAGUUGAACUUGAGCCGACUGAAGCCGGAAUGACAGUUUCCUCAUUGCUGAUGACCAUCACAAUCAAGACGAGCGCGUCGACCAAUGUGUCGUGACCUCCCUGAAGAAGCCAAAAAGACAUCGCAGGUGCAGGAUCUUGGGGGGGCCAGGGUGCUUCUCCUCCACGAUGGCUCUUGUUCUGGAAGCCGCCCUGCACGCAGAGUCAAAAAAACAAAAACAGCGUGUCAAACCCAGCAGACGUGGAGACAGGCGAGCCUCAUACAUCUUGUUCCUCUCGCAGCUCUGCAUGACGUCAAGACUGCACACAAAAAGCAGGAUGUGAGGAGUGGUUGCUGCAAAUCACCCUCCUUCAGAAGAUUGCCUUGAACACAGAUGAGCAUGCAGUAGGAAAAUAGUCAACUGAGGCCAGAAUUUCUAAAACAAAGACAUCUGUUAAGUUUUGCCAUACAGCACAUUUGACAAGAGAUGAAACCCACCAGCAAUGAAGAGGAUGUGACUUGUUUCUCUCUGGGACUUUGUCCAAGCGCUCACAGGAAGCGGAGCAUGAAGGAAGGAAAAACAUUUGAACAACAUUGUGAUGAUUGUUCAGUGUAUUCACAGAGUGGACUGUCAAGUGUGUGUGGACACCAGUGCAAACAUCUCAAACUUGUCCAACUCAGGCUGCUCCACAGUUUGGCUUCAGCAUCUUCUGAUGUGGUCAUCCAGCUGAAUUAAAAUAAUUUGCACUUGAGCCGACUGAAGCCGGAAUGACAGUUUCCUCAUUGCUGAUGACCAUCACAAUCAAGACGAGCGCGUCGACCAAUGUGUCGUGACCUCCCUGAAGAAGCCAAAAAGACAUCGCAGGUGCAGGAUCUUGGGGGCCAAGGUGGUUCUCUGCCACAAUGGAACUUGUCCUGGAAGCCACCCUGCAUGCAGACCUCGUACACGAUUUGUUACUCACGCAGCGCUGGAUGAAGUCAAAAGGAUGUCAGUCUUUGACGCAGAUCAAGUCAGACCUUAAACCAGGAAAUCUGCUUCACUCGUCGGUCCAAGCCGGGUUCAGGUUCUCCAGGGCCAAGAUGCUUUUGCACCACCUAGUGGACAUGAGUGAAGAGUAGUGAAGAGUGUUCAAACCCAGCAUCUCAGUCCUCAGGCAGCGGCGCUUCAAGUGGAGGUUGUCAUAACUGCACACAGAAGCAGGAUGUAAGGAAUGUUUGCUGCAAAGGCACAAUCUUUUACCAUCACCAUUGGAGAUGAAUGCAUUUUGGGUGUUGUGACAUGUUCCCACCUUAAUGAUGUCAUCACAGGAAUAAAUCUGUUAGCUUUUGCCA
Molecule: long non-coding RNA, 2657 nt
Organism: Phyllopteryx taeniolatus (common seadragon)
Lineage: Eukaryota; Metazoa; Chordata; Actinopteri; Syngnathiformes; Syngnathidae
Exons: 12
Source: RefSeq, a predicted model, not a curated record